AGUACUGUGAAGGAAAGGUGAAAAGAACCCCGGGAGGGGAGUGAAAUAGAUCCUGAAACCGCAUACAUACAAACAGUAGGAGCCUCGUUAAGGGGUGACUGCGUACCUUUUGCAUAAUGGGUCAGCGACUUACGUUUAAUGGCGAGCUUAACCGUAUAGGGGAGGCGCAGCGAAAGCGAGUUCGAACAGAGCGUUCAGUCGUUAGGCGUAGACCCGAAACCAGAUGAUCUAUCCAUGGCCAGGUUGAAGGUGUGGUAACACACACUGGAGGACCGAACCGACUAGUGUUGCAAAAUUAGCGGAUGAGCUGUGGAUAGGGGUGAAAGGCUAAACAAAUCUGGAGAUAGCUGGUUCUCCCCGAAAACUAUUGAGGUAGUGCCUCGUGUAUGACUCCAGGGGGUAGAGCACUGUUAUGGCUAGGGGGACAUGGCGUCUUACCAAACCAUGGCAAACUCCGAAUACUUGGAAGUUUGAGCACGGGAGACAGAGCACCGGGUGCUAACGUCCGGACUCAAGAGGGAAACAACCCAGACCGCCGGCUAAGGUCCCUAAUAUUGACUAAGUGGAAAACGAAGUGGAAAGGCUAAGACAGUCAGGAAGUUGGCUUAGAAGCAGCCAUCCUUCAAAGAAAGCGUAAUAGCUCACUGAUCGAGUCUUUCUGCGCGGAAGAUGUAACGGGGCUAAGUCAAUAACCGAAGCCGCGGAUUCACACUUAUGUGUGAGUGGUAGGGGAGCGUUCUGUAAGCCUGCGAAGGUGACUCGUAAGGGUUGCUGGAGGUAUCAGAAGUGCGAAUGCUGACAUGAGUAACGUUAAAGCGGGUGAAAAGCCCGCUCGCCGUAAGCCCAAGGUUUCCUGCUCUACGUUCAUCGGAGCAGGGUGAGUCGGCCCCUAAGGUGAGGCUGAGAAGCGUAACUGAUGGGAACAAGGUUAAUAUUCCUUGACCACCGCUGAAUGCGAAGGGGGGACGGAGUAUUGAAGAUCAUCCGGGUGUUGGAUAUCCCGGUUUGCGAGCGUAGGAGGCUGACAGGCAAAUCCGUCAGCGAAUCUCCGAGGCAAAGCAUCGAGCUCUCUUUUGAGCGAAGUGAUUGGAUGUGCUUCCAGGAAAAGCCUCUAAGCUCCAGUUCAGCGGGACCGUACCGCAAACCGACACUGGUGGGCGAGCUGAAUAUGCUCAGGCGCUUGAGAGAACUCAGGAGAAGGAACUCGGCAAAUUGACACCGUAACUUCGGGAUAAGGUGUGCCUUUGUAGCGUGGAGGGAGAAACACCCCGAGCGCGAAGAGGUCUCAGAUAAUCGGUGGCUGCGACUGUUUAUUAAAAACACAGCACUCUGCAAAGACGAAAGUCGACGUAUAGGGUGUGAUGCCUGCCCGGUGCUGGAAGAUUAAUUGAUGGGGUGCAAGCUCCUGAUCGAAGUCCCAGUAAACGGCGGCCGUAACUAUAACGGUCCUAAGGUAGCGAAAUUCCUUGUC
RNAcentral lists this ribosomal RNA (1471 nucleotides) under human gut metagenome. Its description in RNAcentral is "bacterial LSU rRNA". It matches the Rfam family "Bacterial large subunit ribosomal RNA", at positions 497 to 1973 of the family's 2925-position model. The record is from RNAcentral.